GCAGGCACGGGCGCGGCGCGGCGGCGGAGCGGCAGCAGCGCGGCCCCGGACACGGCCACGGCCAGGGACACGGACACGGACACGGCCCCGGCCACGGACACAGCCACAGCCACAGCCACGGCCACGGCCAGGGCCGCAUGGUGCGGGAUGGAAAAUGGCGGGAAAAAUGGGGGAAAAAAUGGAGGGGAAAUGGGGAAAAGAUGGGGAAAAAAUUGGGGGAAAAUCUGGGGAAAAUAUGAGGGAAAUCUGGGGGGAAAUAUGGGGGAAAUAUGAGGGAAAUCUGGGGAAAAGGAAAUGGGAAAUAUAUGGGGAAAAGCUGGGAAAAAAAAAGGGGGGAAAAUAUGAGGGAAAUCUGGGGAAAAAAUAUGGGGAAAAUAUGAGGGAAAUCUGGGGAAAAGGAAAUGGGAAAUAUAUGGGGAAAAGCUGGGGGAAACAAUGGGGGGAAAAUAUGAGGGAAAUCUGGGGAAAAAAUAUGGGGGAAAUAUGAGGGAAAUCUGGGGAAAAGGAAAUGGGAAAUAUAUGGGGGAAAGCUGGGAAAAAAAUGGGGGGAAAAUAUGAGGGAAAUAUGAGGGAAAUCUGGGGAAAAAAUAUGGGGGAAAUAUGAGGGAAAACUGGGGAAAAGGAAAUGGGAAAUAUAUGGAGGAAAGCUGGAAAAAAAAUGGGGGAAAAAUCGGGGGAAAAUAAUGGGGGGAAAAUGGGAAAUAUAUGGGGGAAAGCUGGGGAAAAAAUUGGGGAAAAAUCUGCGAAAAAAUCUAGGGAAAUCUGGGGAAAAUAAGGGGGGGGAAACGGGAAAUAUAUGGGGAAAAGCUGAGAAAAAAAUUGGGGGAAAAUAUGAGGAAAAUCAGGGGAAAAAAUCUGGGGAAAAAAUCUGGGAAAAGCUGGGAAAAAAAUCUAGGAAAAAUCUGGGGAAAACCUGUGAAAUAUCUGGGGAAAUCUGAGGGGAAAAAUGGGGGAAAUCUGGGGAAAAACUGGGGGGAAAAGCUGGGAAAUAUCUGGGAAAAAUCUGGAAAACAAAUCUGGGGAAAAGUCUGGAAAAAAAAUCUGGGAAAUAUCUGGGGAAAAAGCUGGGAAAAAUCUGGGGAAAAACCUGGGGGAAAUCCUUUCCUCUGGGAGAGGAGACAGAACUCAGGUGCCCCGCGCUGGGAAAAGAUUUACACAGCGAGAAUUUGGAUUUGUUUUUUAAAUUUGAGGUCACUUCAUCCUGGAAAUACCCAAAUCAGGGAGGCGGUGCAGGCAAAGAUCAGGCAGCUGCAUUUUGAGGGGAAAAUAUGGGAAAAAAAAUGGGGAAAAUCUGGGAAAUUCAAUUUCCUGCAUUUUUCACUGUAUCAAAAAAAGUGAUUUUGCUGCCAAAGUGAUGCUCCAAGGCUGGAAUAUUUUCCUUGCAGGAAGAAAAGCAGAUACAGAGACCUAAAACCUGUGUUUUUUGACUUUUUUUAAUCAUCCUUUCCCUUUAUUGGACUAUUUCAGUGGCAGCUUUAACUAGAAAACUUUAAAAAAUAAAUUCGAAACAUAAUCCUGAAUUUUGAACA
This 1529-nucleotide long non-coding RNA is filed under the name Lonchura striata (white-rumped munia). RNAcentral describes it as "domestica (Bengalese finch) lncRNA (ENSLSDG00000005508.1)". Lineage: Eukaryota; Metazoa; Chordata; Aves; Passeriformes; Estrildidae. The record is from RNAcentral.